UACGUAGGCAGCAAGCGUUGUUCGGAGUUACUGGGCGUAAAGGGUGUGUAGGCGGUUCUUUUAAGUUUGGUGUGAAAUCUCCCGGCUCAACUGGGAGGGUGCGCCGAAUACUGAGGGACCAGAGUACGGGAGAGGAAAGUGGAAUUCCUGGUGUAGCGGUGAAAUGCGUAGAUAUCAGGAGGAACACCGGUGGUGUAGACGGCUUUCUGGACCGUAACUGACGCUGAGACACGAAAGCGUGGGUAGCAAACAGG
Molecule: ribosomal RNA, 254 nt
Filed under: uncultured bacterium
Lineage: Bacteria
Description: partial 16S ribosomal RNA
Rfam family: Bacterial small subunit ribosomal RNA
Source: RNAcentral